CCGAAAAGUCCUCUUUUAUUCUUGAAUCCAUAUUCGUAAUUUUUUGUAUUUGCAUUCUUUGAAAACCUAGAAUAAAUCCUAGAUUUUACUUGUUUGUUUAUUUUUAUGAGCUUAAAUUGAAGCCCUUGAUGUUGUAAUUCUUUGUGGUUGAUGAUUGUAAAGAAGUUUCCAAUGUUUGAUGAUGUAAAUCUUGAGAAAAAUAUUUGGUUAGGGUCGGAUUCACUGUAGAAGUUCGUGGUUACUGUAGCAAUAUUGUAGCACCAACAAACCUUGCUUAAUUCUCUUGCCUCCUUGGUUUGGAAGGAAGCCUAGUUUCAUAGUAACUCUUUGAAAGUCCUUGAAUCCAAGUUUGAGCCAACCUUAGGCCCUUAUAGGGUUACAUUGCACUUAUGCACCUAGAUUUUUCUUGGUACAUCUCUUUGCUCAUUCUUUGGUUCUUUUACUCAUUCUUCUUUGUUGUCCCGCUCUCGUACAUGUUUUGGGUCCGGUGGUGAGAACGCCGCUCGAGGGAAGGAGCCAGUGGAGGAAUAGCACCUUUGGGAAAAAAAAUCUGGUCUUCUAAGUUGUUUUAGUAGUCAGAAGCGUUGCAGCGAGGUGAAGUGCUUAGCAGUUCCUGGUUUUUUAUUGACAUCUUGAGUCUUAUUCUUAUGUUUGUGUGCAGGAGUUGUCAGCCUUGCGGUAACUCAAGGGGUUGUCAGCCUUGCAGGAGUUGCAUGGCGGUAUCCCUCCUCGGGUUCUCGUGGUGGUUGUUGCAUCCAGGGACCCGCGGAUCGAGGUGUGACAAAGGAAAAUUUGGAGUUUAGGGGUAGCUCUAAGGGCAAGCACUUUAUUUGGCUCACGCUUCGGGGUAGAAAUGCCACUUUUGAUUAUCUUUAUAGCAUCAAUUUGGGCCCGAAACUUGUGUACUUUGUAGCCUUACUUUUGAAUCUAUAAAGCACCUACUGGAUGAGUGCCUCAAGGCUCAGCUAGUUUGGAAUAUGCUCAGUACAAAGAUUGGUAAAUGUAUUACCUUCAUUGAUGGUUUCACCUAUAGUUCCUGGCUCACAGGCUGCUCUUAUUCUAUGCACAUCAAGUUUGUUAUUGCAGCGGCUAUUUGGUUUAUUUGGAAAGCAAGAUGUGAUGCUAUUUUUAGACA
This is a long non-coding RNA of Dioscorea cayenensis subsp. rotundata (Guinea yam), 1135 nucleotides long. RefSeq lists it as uncharacterized. The transcript has 3 exons. NCBI's taxonomy places the organism in Eukaryota, Viridiplantae, Streptophyta, Magnoliopsida, Dioscoreales, Dioscoreaceae. The record is from RefSeq and is a predicted model, not a curated record.